This 23-nucleotide microRNA is filed under the name Magallana gigas (Pacific oyster). RNAcentral describes it as "Mgi-Mir-184-P15g2_5p* (star (passenger))". The record is from RNAcentral. Lineage: Eukaryota; Metazoa; Mollusca; Bivalvia; Ostreida; Ostreidae.
CCAUGUCACACAUUCGUCACAGU